AUUGAACGCUGGCGGAAUGCUUUACACAUGCAAGUCGAGCGGCAGCGCGGCCUUCGGGCUGGCGGCGAGCGGCGAACGGGUGAGUAAUGCAUCGGAACAUGCCCAGUCGUGGGGGAUAACACUUCGAAAGAAGUGCUAGUACCGCAUACGUCCUGAGGGGGAAAGCGGGGGAUCGCAAGACCUCGCGCGAUUGGAGUGGCCGAUGUCAGAUUAGCUAGUUGGUGGGGUAAAGGCCUACCAAGGCGACGAUCUGUAGCUGGUCUGAGAGGAUGAUCAGCCACACUGGGACUGAGACACGGCCCAGACUCCUACGGGAGGCAGCAGUGGGGAAUUUUGGACAAAGGGGGCAACCCUGAUCCAGCCAUUCCGCGUGAGUGAAGAAGGCCUUCGGGUUGUAAAGCUCUUUCGGCAGGAACGAAACGGUGGGCUCUAACAUAGUCCGCUAAUGACGGUACCUGAAGAAGAAGCACCGGCUAACUACGUG
RNAcentral lists this ribosomal RNA (484 nucleotides) under uncultured bacterium. RNAcentral's name for it is "partial 16S ribosomal RNA". It matches the Rfam family "Bacterial small subunit ribosomal RNA", at positions 29 to 507 of the family's 1533-position model. The record is from RNAcentral.